Myotis lucifugus (little brown bat) is the source of this 99-nucleotide small nuclear RNA. Lineage: Eukaryota; Metazoa; Chordata; Mammalia; Chiroptera; Vespertilionidae. The record is from Ensembl.
GUGCUCGCUUCAGCAGCACAUAUUCUAAAAUUGGAACAAUAGAGAUUAGCAUGGCCCUGCAGGGAUGACAUGCAAAUUGGUGAAGCAUUAUUUAAAAAA